RNAcentral lists this ribosomal RNA (223 nucleotides) under uncultured bacterium. Its description in RNAcentral is "partial 16S ribosomal RNA". It matches the Rfam family "Bacterial small subunit ribosomal RNA", at positions 111 to 334 of the family's 1533-position model. The record is from RNAcentral.
UAACGCGUGGAUAACCUGCCUCACACAGGGGGAUAACAGUUGGAAACGACUGCUAAUACCGCAUAAGCGCACAGCACCGCAUGGUGCAGUGUGAAAAACUCCGGUGGUGUGAGAUAGAUCCGCGUCUGAUUAGCUUGUUGGCGGGGUAACGGCCCACCAAGGCGACGAUCAGUAGCCGACCUGAGAGGGUGACCGGCCACAUUGGGACUGAGACACGGCCCAA